AUUCUCAUCCAGGAUGAUGCAGUUUGACAAUUUCCAUGGAGGUGAUUGAUGAUGAUAAAUAAUUGGUGAAGUAGGCCUAAUAGAACAGUGACUGGACCACAAAGAGAAAUACAAACUACAGCAGUUAUAGGAGACUGGUGUAACAGAUGUUUUCAUUCAAGAAAUCCAACAAGUCAACAUUGAAGACUUGGGAACCACGUAAUGAAGAUGGAAAAGGUUUUUUUCCAAGUCCAAUUUAAAAAAAAAUUAUC
Molecule: long non-coding RNA, 251 nt
Filed under: Lytechinus variegatus (green sea urchin)
Lineage: Eukaryota; Metazoa; Echinodermata; Echinoidea; Temnopleuroida; Toxopneustidae
Description: uncharacterized LOC121405711
Source: RNAcentral